RNAcentral lists this ribosomal RNA (514 nucleotides) under bacterium TN162B. RNAcentral describes it as "bacterial SSU rRNA". It matches the Rfam family "Bacterial small subunit ribosomal RNA", at positions 1007 to 1517 of the family's 1533-position model. The record is from RNAcentral.
CAGGUGCCCCGCUUGCGGUCGGUUUACAGGUGGUGCAUGGUUGUCGUCAGCUCGUGUCGUGAGAUGUUGGGUUAAGUCCCGCAACGAGCGCAACCCUCGUUCUAUGUUGCCAGCACGUGAUGGUGGGGACUCAUAGGAGACUGCCGGGGUCAACUCGGAGGAAGGUGGGGACGACGUCAAAUCAUCAUGCCCCUUAUGUCUUGGGCUUCACGCAUGCUACAAUGGCCGGUACAAAGGGUUGCGAUACUGUGAGGUGGAGCUAAUCCCAAAAAGCCGGUCUCAGUUCGGAUUGGGGUCUGCAACUCGACCCCAUGAAGUCGGAGUCGCUAGUAAUCGCAGAUCAGCAACGCUGCGGUGAAUACGUUCCCGGGCCUUGUACACACCGCCCGUCAAGUCACGAAAGUUGGUAACACCCGAAGCCGGUGGCCUAACCCCUUUGUGGGAGGGAGCUGUCGAAGGUGGGACUGGCGAUUGGGACUAAGUCGUAACAAGGUAGCCGUACCGGAAGGUGCGG